GGAUGUGGGGGUGACGUGGUUAGGACAUCCAUCCCCCUACAGAUUACCUCUAUUGAUAAGGAUGAUAUGGUUUGCUAGGUAAGUGUGCCCUACCUCCUUCAUCACCCCUGUACAUCUCUCCUAAAGCUAUAGUUUUACCCAAUACAGAAAGGAGGACAGUUUUUCCAUCAAAGGUAUAGUUAAGUAGCAGUGCUCCCCUGACAAAUCCUCCAAAGAAACACAGGAAACAAAAGCAAAAUCAGAUAAAUGAAACUAUAUCAAACUACAAGCAUCUUU
Molecule: small nuclear RNA, 276 nt
Filed under: Neotoma lepida (desert woodrat)
Lineage: Eukaryota; Metazoa; Chordata; Mammalia; Rodentia; Cricetidae
Description: 7SK RNA
Rfam family: 7SK RNA
About the family: 7SK was discovered as an abundant small nuclear RNA in the mid-70s but a possible function has only recently been suggested. Two independent studies have found that 7SK RNA binds the CDK9/cyclin T complex (known as elongation factor P-TEFb). P-TEFb activates transcription by phosphorylating the C-terminal domain of RNA polymerase II.
Source: Rfam by way of RNAcentral